This 1341-nucleotide ribosomal RNA is filed under the name Triticum aestivum (bread wheat). RNAcentral describes it as "partial small subunit ribosomal RNA". Lineage: Eukaryota; Viridiplantae; Streptophyta; Magnoliopsida; Poales; Poaceae. The record is from RNAcentral.
AUGGAGCUCUCACUCGUCUCCGCCAAGGCCUCACCCCGCGCCGCCGCGGCCGCCGUCUCCUCCUCCCCGCUCCUCCCCUCCGCCACGCGGAGCCGCCCCCGCGGCCGGCGGUUCCGCUGCGUCGCCGCGGCGUCCAAGGGGGAGGAGGUGUUCGGCGGCCGGAAGGAGCUCACGGGCGUGCAGCCGCUGGUGGAGGCAUUGCCGCCCGCGGGGCGGGCGGUGUUGGAGCUCGCGGUCGUUGCCGCGGCGGCGGCGGGGGGGUACAGCCUCGGGACACGCUACGGCGGCACGCGGACCACGGCCGUCGCGGGCGCGGCCGUGCUCGGGGCGGCCACCCUUGCGGGGGCCGCCGCUGUGAACUCCGUCGUGCCGGGGGUCGCCGCCGUGGGGCUCCACAACUACGUCGCAGGCUCUGACGACCCCACCGCGCUGGAGGCUAGUGAGGUGGCGAACAUCGCGAGCAAAUAUGGAGUCAGUACACAAGAUGCAGCAUUCAAAUCAGAGCUCUGUGACCUGUAUGCCAGCUUUGUUUACUCAGUACUUCCUCCAGGACAUGAAGAUCUCAAAGGUACUGAGGUUGAAGCUAUUAAAAAGUUUAAAAAAGCUCUUGGACUCGAUGAUGUGGAUGCUGCAAAUAUGCACCUGGCGAUUGGUAGACGCUUAUACAGAGAGAGACUCGAUGCAUUCCAAAAGUUAAUUUUUGUGUCAAAUCUUGUCUUCGGAGAUGCAUCAGACUUCAUACUUCCAUGGAAACAUCUUUUCGGGAUCACGGACUAUCAGAUCGAUAUUGCUAUGCGGGAGAAUGCCAAAAGUCUGUACGCGUUAGAGCUCAAGUCUAUUGGAAGAGGUCUUGACAUAGGCACGCUCAUUGAAGUGAGGAGAGUACAACUUGCAUAUAAACUUUUUGAUGAGGUUGCUGCUGACAUGUUCAAGGAGCAUGCGAAGAAGUUGAUUCAAGAAAACAUUUCAUCUGCUUUAUCCAUAUUGAAGUCCAAUACCAGUGCAGGGAACAUUCCCACAGAGGUUAUUAAUGAGGUGAAUAGUAUCCUCGCAUUCAAUAGGUUGCUAACAGUUCUAAGCAAGUUUCCUCAAGGCGAGCGAUUUGCACGUGGGCUUGGACCUAUCUCGUUAGCUGGAGAUUUUGAUCAUGAUAAGAUGGUUGGUGAUCUAAAGAUACUCUAUGCGGCCUAUACAACAGAAGUACUUUCAGAUGGACUUCUUGAUGAUGAGAAGCUUGGUCCUUUAAAUGAGCUGAGGAAUAUAUUUGGGCUUGGGAAGCGUGAGGCAGAAGCAAUCAUAGAAGGAGUAAUGUCAGAUGUUAAAUCUCAAGUACCAGCAUGA